CCUACGGGGGGCAGCAGUGAGGAAUAUUGGUCAAUGGGCGCGAGCCUGAACCAGCCAAGUAGCGUGAAGGAUGACUGCCCUACGGGUUGUAAACUGCUUUUAUAAAGGAAUAAAGUGGGGCACGUGUGCCGUUUUGUAUGUACUGUAUGAAUAAGGAUCGGCUAACUCUGUGCCAGCAGCCGCGGUAAUACGGAGGAUCCGAGCGUUAUCCGGAUUUAUUGGGGUUAAGGGGAGCGUAGACGGGUUGUUAAGUCAGUUGUGAAAGUUUGGGGCUCAACCGUAGGAUUGCAGGUGAUACGGGCAGUCUGGGGGACAGUGGGGGUAGGCGGAGUUCGUGGUGUAGCGGGGAAAUGCUUGG
Molecule: ribosomal RNA, 358 nt
Filed under: uncultured bacterium
Lineage: Bacteria
Description: partial 16S ribosomal RNA
Rfam family: Bacterial small subunit ribosomal RNA
Source: RNAcentral